GUGCUGGGAUUACAGGCGUGAGCCCCCGCGUCCGGCCUCAUCUCUACUAAAAAUACAAAAUUAGCCAGGCAUAGUGGCGCAUGCCUGUAGUCCUAGCUACUCGGGAGGCUGAGGCAGGAGAAUCGCUUAAACCUGAGAGGCGGAUGUUGAGGUGAGCCGAGAUCCUGCCAUUGCACUCCAGCCUGGGAAACAAGAGUGAAACUCCAUCUCAAAAAAAAAAAAAGAAUACUAAGAAAGCCUAUGGCUGGGCCUGGAUGGUUGUGAACACUCUCCUGAGUUGAGUGGCUGUGCAGCCCCAGAUAUGCCCUCAAAGCCUUGCCGUCAAGGCUGACCAGGGACCUCCAUGGGUUCUAGUCCACUCCACUCCUACUUGCUCUACUGCUCCGUUCCAUUUGAGAGCUAGGGUAAUCCGCUAGGCAUUAUGUCAUUAUAGAAGAUGGCCUUUAGAGGUUUUCCUGAAGUAAGAAAAUAAUAGCUAGAUUAGCAUAUCUUUAAAUGAAUUCAAGGGCUUCUCCUGGUGCAGUGGCCCUUAAGGACAAGAUGGUCUUCAAGCACAGUGCAGCAGUGAAAGUUUAGAGGAUCCGCUAGCCUAUACACACGUAAUUAUUAGUAUACUCUAUUUAACAAAGCAUGGAAAAGUAUAGCGCAUUUCAGAAGCGUUCCACUGGGAACUGAUAAAAACAAAGCUUUGGAAAUUAUGGGAUUAAACUUUGUCUGAAAAAUUAUUUUUCAGAAUGCAAUAUUCCCUAAUUGAGGUGUUUAUCUAUUUAACUAUUGACUAUUCAGAUGAUUUACAUUAAACUCAUGAGACCAAACUUGCUUAUAACUUGACCGAUACAAAUUACUAUAUGAUUACAUAGUAAAUAUUACAAAAUACAGAGGAAACUUAGAAAUUAUAAAGAAUGAAAAAUAUUUAAUUUGUCUUAGCAACUGCAUCUGGCCUAGGAAAGGAAAUGAUUGCAUUUUGUCUCUCUCAGCAGGCCCCCAUCUAUCCCUAGAUUUCAAGCUAGUUGGUUGCCUUAAGAUCUCAGCUUGGCAAGGCGUGGUGGCUCACACCUGUAAUCCCAGUACUUUGGGAGGCCAAGUCAGGCGAAUCACGUGAGACCAGGAGUCGGAGACCAGCCUGGCAACAUAACAAAACCCCAUCUCUACUAAAAAUACAAAACUUAGCCGGGUGUGGUGGUGCACACCUGUGGUCCCAGCUACUCAGGAGGCUGAGGCAGGAGAAUCGCUUGAACUCAGGAGGCAGAGGCUUUGUGAGCUGAGGUCAUGCCACUGCACUCCCACCUGGGCAACAGAGCGAGACUUUAUCUCAAAACAACAACAGCAUGGUUGGAUGUGGUGGCUCAUGCUUAUAAUCCCAGAACUUUGGGAGGCCGAGGUGGGCAGAUCGCUUGAGGUCAGGAGUUCAAGACAAGCCUGGUCAACAUGGCGAAACCCUGUCUCCACUAAACAUACAAGAAUUAGUGUGAUGGCGAUCGCCUGUAAUCCCAGCUACUCAGGAGGCUGAGGCAUGAGAAUUGCUUGAACCGGGGAAGCGGAGGUUGCAGUGAGCUGAGAUCACACCAUUGCACUCCAGCCUGGGAGACAGAGCAAGACUCCAUCUCAAAAAAAAAAAAAAA
Molecule: long non-coding RNA, 1622 nt
Organism: Macaca fascicularis (crab-eating macaque)
Lineage: Eukaryota; Metazoa; Chordata; Mammalia; Primates; Cercopithecidae
Source: Ensembl